This 177-nucleotide ribosomal RNA is filed under the name uncultured bacterium. RNAcentral's name for it is "partial 16S ribosomal RNA". It matches the Rfam family "Bacterial small subunit ribosomal RNA", at positions 1316 to 1500 of the family's 1533-position model. The record is from RNAcentral.
CUCCAUGAAGCUGGAUUCGCUAGUAAUCGCGCAUCAGCCACGGCGCGGUGAAUACGUUCCCGGGCCUUGUACACACCGCCCGUCAAGCCAUGGAAGCCGGGAGUGCCUGAAGUGCGUGAGCGCAAGCAGCGCCCUAAGGUAAAACCGGUGACUGGGGCUAAGUCGUAACAAGGUACC